CACAGUUUCAACUCUGAUGGAAGUGAGUUCCUGAGGAUAGGGGCAGUGCUGGAGAAGGAUCUGGAGCUACAUUCAUCCUGUCCACAUCCUGAGUCAGCUUAAUGCAUGAAGAAUGACCAAAGUGGUGCUGAGAUAUUUACCACUUUUGGCAACAACAGCAGG
Long non-coding RNA from Haliotis rubra (blacklip abalone), 162 nucleotides. RefSeq lists it as uncharacterized. Lineage: Eukaryota; Metazoa; Mollusca; Gastropoda; Lepetellida; Haliotidae. The record is from RefSeq and is a predicted model, not a curated record. The transcript is spliced from 2 exons.